AGCAGUCGCCGCGGGAAUACAGAGGGUGCGAGCGUUAAUCGGAUUUACUGGGCGUAAAGCGUGCGUAGGCGGCUUCUUAAGUCGGAUGUGAAAUCCCUGAGCUUAACUUAGGAAUUGCAUUCGAUACUGGGAAGCUAGAGUAUGGGAGAGGAUGGUAGAAUUCCAGGUGUAGCGGUGAAAUGCGUAGAGAUCUGGAGGAAUACCGAUGGCGAAGGCAGCCAUCUGGCCUAAUACUGACGCUGAGGUACGAAAGCAUGGGGAGCAAACAGGAUUAGAUACCCCAGUAGUCCCUGUCUCUUAUAA
This 303-nucleotide ribosomal RNA is filed under the name uncultured bacterium. RNAcentral's name for it is "partial 16S ribosomal RNA". It matches the Rfam family "Bacterial small subunit ribosomal RNA", at positions 507 to 809 of the family's 1533-position model. The record is from RNAcentral.